CUCCUAAAGAAGGAAGACCUGCAGAGGAGAAAUGAUCUGAAUGUCAGUGGGAUCCUUAGAAGAGCAAGUACAUCUGGAGAAAUGGCCCCUGAGAACUGUAAUGGAGAAGAAGGUGGAGAGCAAAUUUAUUAUUGAAAUGCAACACACCAGUAACACUGAUAUAUCUUGGAGAGUGUAUCCUCAACAAUGAGCCCAAACCAGGCAUGUGUUGUACAUGAUGUCAUGGGUACCUGAUGGAGGAGCACAGGUUUAGUACUUCAUGUUGGGAAUACUUCAGGGAACACAGCUGUCAACAAAACAGAUCAAAGAUGAUGGCUGCUGCAGGGCAAAACAACGUGAAGGUGGAAUGUCAUGAAGGCCUCUUCCUUCUUGGUAAGCUGGACAUGGUGAUUCUGAGCUGGUCACCUAAAACCAGGAGCAACUAAACAUAUUAUUAAGUCUGGUGAUGUAUUUCACUGCUGUUCUGUAUAAGAGCUUGAAAUGUCUUAUAUUUAGAUAUUGUACACAAGAAGGAUAAGAGAAGAAAUAUAAUUUUUAGGUUAAAAAUCAGUUGCAUACUUUUUCCACAUGUAUAGAAAUAUAACUGAAAACUUUCUGUAAAGCUUUUUGGUACUAUU
Long non-coding RNA from Lagopus leucura (white-tailed ptarmigan), 617 nucleotides. RefSeq lists it as uncharacterized. The transcript is spliced from 4 exons. The record is from RefSeq and is a predicted model, not a curated record. Lineage: Eukaryota; Metazoa; Chordata; Aves; Galliformes; Phasianidae.